UCUAUCUCUCCCAUCGCAUCACAUCACCAAUUCACCAUGUGUGUGUUCACGGGAGUUGUGGAUUAUGCACCUGAGUCUGAGUGGCACCAAGACUUUACUUUUCAACAUGAGCAGCCAAACAGAAACAUUUUGCAGCAAAGUCGUUGGCUACGUGCGUGUGAAUUUUGGCAUUUGGUCUACAAUGGGAGAAGAGUAUUUUUAGCCUUUUUUUCUUGCGCGUGGCUGCCCCAAAAGAGAUACCAAAUUGCUACAGAAAAUCAACACACUCAAUUAGCUAGUAUGAUAAUGAGAAUAAACUCAUGACACUGUAAUUGUAUGUCUGGAAAUCAAGCACUGUUUCCUUUGAACAGAUCAAGUGUGAGGAGUUAUGUUUUGGCGGAAAUAAACAACAAUACCACAUGACAAAUAAUCUACUCGAUCUUAAUUAUGACUUCGAAUUAGCUGUUUGCACAAGAUUAAGGUAGUGUUUGGUUGAGGAGCCAAGUAGAAUGAGUCGUUCCAU
Molecule: unclassified non-coding RNA, 502 nt
Filed under: Zea mays
Lineage: Eukaryota; Viridiplantae; Streptophyta; Magnoliopsida; Poales; Poaceae
Description: misc RNA Zm00001eb120720
Source: RNAcentral